UUAUAAUUCAACUGAGUACUGUUGUUAUUGUUAUAAUUCAACUGAGUACUGUUGUUAUUGUUAUAAUUCAACUGAGUACUGUUAUCGGAGACAUCAGGCUCCCAGAUUACGUAAAGGACCUACUGCAAAAAGGCCCAGCAUGUGCCACCUACCCGCGGGAAACCCCCCUGGACAAUGUACCAAUAGUGGAAGACCUGCUCCGCAACGUACAAGAAAGUGAAAAUACGAAGCACAGGUACAGAUGGCAAUAUGUAAGGGAAACCGUGAGCCAUGAACAAACUGUAAGAAAGAGCAAAGAUAGUACUUUAGAGGCCAAUCUGGUCAGAAAAACGACGACCUGGGCACGCCAGAACAACAUAAAGAUCACAAGAGAGGACAAGACGAAAAAGAUAGUACUAAUGAAUGAAAGCAUCUACGACGAUUUUUUGAGAAACUACAUUGACGAAUCGCAACCACACCGCCUGAACAAAGACCCAACCAUAAGUUUAGCGAGGAAAGUCAACAGAAUAGUGAGAAACAAGGCAUUCCCGCAAAUCUGGAAACAUAGUAUGAUCAUGGACCCCGUAUGUCCCAGAUUAUUCGCAUUCGUUAAGACACACAAGAGCCCAAUAGCUG
Molecule: long non-coding RNA, 615 nt
Filed under: Androctonus crassicauda
Lineage: Eukaryota; Metazoa; Arthropoda; Arachnida; Scorpiones; Buthidae
Source: RNAcentral